ACGCCAGUAGCUCAAUUGGUAGAGUAGUGGUCUCCAAAACCAUUGGUUGUGGGUUCAAGUCCUACCUGGCGUGCCA
Molecule: transfer RNA, 76 nt
Filed under: Verrucomicrobium spinosum DSM 4136 = JCM 18804
Lineage: Bacteria; Pseudomonadati; Verrucomicrobiota; Verrucomicrobiia; Verrucomicrobiales; Verrucomicrobiaceae
Also listed under: 1 other name
Description: tRNA-Trp (CCA) (tRNA-Trp-CCA-1-1)
Rfam family: tRNA
About the family: Transfer RNA (tRNA) molecules are approximately 80 nucleotides in length.
Source: RNAcentral